ACUCCCAAACUACUUGCCUCCAGCUCUCUUAAUGAUGUCUGCUGCCUGAUGACUUCUGGGGAGCACACACACUGGGAGCCUGGAGAGAUUCUACUGUUUACAGAAGACUUUUUUCCCUCCUCUACAUAGAAAAUGAAAGAGGGAGAGGAGAGAUACUUCAAUACCACCCCACCACUCAUGAAACCUCCCCCCUGAAGGUGCUCCUAUGUGAUUGUCCAAGAUGGAACCCAAGUCUUUGCACAUGGUGACAUGUGUGCUCUAUUGGAUCUUGUAUUACAAGCAAAGCUGAACCCAUCUGCUAAUUCUCAAGCCUGCUCCUCUUCAGUGCUGCCAUCUUGGUGAGGACCCUGAGCCAGAAACCAGGAAGUCACCAUCCCACAACCCUUACACCUCCUCUGGCACCAGGAGGCAUCUCUCACUGCCAUGGAAACUUCUCUUGAAUCUGUCUCUUCUCUCUGCCCUCUGGUCACACCUCCUCACUUCUUCCCUGAUGGCUCAUUACUUCCUCCACUGAUUCCCCCAUUCCUGCCCACCUUCCUUAGAGGAUCAAAAGCACUCAUCAUGUCCUGUCCAC
Erinaceus europaeus (western European hedgehog) is the source of this 574-nucleotide long non-coding RNA. RefSeq lists it as uncharacterized. The record is from RefSeq and is a predicted model, not a curated record. The transcript is spliced from 3 exons. NCBI's taxonomy places the organism in Eukaryota, Metazoa, Chordata, Mammalia, Eulipotyphla, Erinaceidae.